Molecule: ribosomal RNA, 253 nt
Filed under: uncultured bacterium
Lineage: Bacteria
Description: partial 16S ribosomal RNA
Rfam family: Bacterial small subunit ribosomal RNA
Source: RNAcentral
UACGAAGGGGGCUAGCGUUGCUCGGAAUUACUGGGCGUAAAGGGCGCGUAGGCGGACAGUUUAGUCAGAGGUGAAAGCCCAGGGCUCAACCUUGGAAUGGCCUUUGAUACUGGCUGUCUUGAGUUCGGGAGAGGUGAGUGGAAUGCCGAGUGUAGAGGUGAAAUUCGUAGAUAUUCGGCGGAACACCAGUGGCGAAGGCGACUCACUGGCCCGAUACUGACGCUGAGGCGCGAAAGCGUGGGGAGCAAACAGG